GCAGGUGCGGAGUUUGACUGGGGCGGUACACCUGUCAAAUGGUAACACAGGUGUCCUAAGGCGAGCUUAGGGAGGAUAGAAACUUCCCGUGGAGCAGAAGGGAAAAAUCUCACUUGAGACCGUGAAAGCGGGGCCUCACGAUCCUUCUGAAUUUUGGGCUUUUAAGCAGGUGGUGUCAGAAAAGUUACCACAGUGAUAACUGGCUGCCAAGCAUUCAUAGCGACGUCGCUUUUUUAUCCUUUGAUGUCGGCUCUUCCUAUCAUUGUGAAGCAGAAUUCACCAAGCUUUGAAUUGUUCACACACUAAUAGAGAACGUGAGCUGGGUUUAGAUCGUUGUGAGAAAGGUUAGUUUUACCCUACUCAUGAUGUGUUGUUGCAAUAGUAAUCCUGCUCAGUGCGAGAGGAACCGCAGGUUCAGACAUUUGGUGUAUGUGCUUGGCUGAGGAGCCAAUGGUGCAAAGCUACCAUCUGUGGGAUUAUGACUGAGCACCUCUAAGUCUGAAUCCCCCCUAAACGUAACGAUACCGUAGUGCUGCGGCUCGUCGGUUGGCCCGGGAUAGCCGGCUCUGAGCCGUUCUUGACGGGGUUGGUGUGUAGACGGAUGAGUUACUGCCCCUCUCCUGAUGCGCACUGCAUGUUUGUGGGGAACCUGGUGCUAAAUCACUCGUGGACGACCUGAUUCUGCGUCAGGGUUUCAUAUGUAGCAGAGCAGCUCACUCGCUGUGAUCUAUUGAAAAUCAGCCCUCGAUCCAAGAUUU
RNAcentral lists this non-coding RNA (758 nucleotides) under Salmo salar (Atlantic salmon). Its description in RNAcentral is "Eukaryotic large subunit ribosomal RNA". It matches the Rfam family "Eukaryotic large subunit ribosomal RNA", at positions 2608 to 3399 of the family's 3401-position model. The record is from Rfam by way of RNAcentral. Lineage: Eukaryota; Metazoa; Chordata; Actinopteri; Salmoniformes; Salmonidae.